Peromyscus eremicus (cactus mouse) is the source of this 371-nucleotide long non-coding RNA. RefSeq lists it as uncharacterized. The record is from RefSeq and is a predicted model, not a curated record. NCBI's taxonomy places the organism in Eukaryota, Metazoa, Chordata, Mammalia, Rodentia, Cricetidae. The transcript has 2 exons.
CUGAGGGACAAUAUGGUAGACGUUUGACAUCAAAAACUGAAUGUGAAGUAAAUAUCAUAUGGAGAAUCUGCCAAAGCUACGCUCCGAACAGUAUACAUGUUUGAAGCUCACUCUUGCUGGGCAGACAUUUGCGAUACACGUUAUGCUAAAACCUUGAACCUGACCUCUGACCUCAGAAUCCUUGGCAGUGACUCUUCUGUUCAUACACCUAAGCUGCUGUGUCAGAGGAAUUUUGUGCUUUCACAUCCGGAUCCAGCAACUUGAAGCUAGGCGGGACAAAAUUAAUAAUAAGGAAAUAAGAUGGAAACCGCAAAAUCACCUGCUAACCAACGUUUGCUAAAAUAAAGUCUCAAAAUACAGUGUUAAUUCAA